AUGAACGCAGCCAGGUGGGGCACGGCUGUCCUCCCAGCUGUUGGGAGGCCGAGGCAGGAGGAUCGCUUCGAGUCCAGCGAGCUCUUGCACGCAUGUUGGAACGAGAUCAGGCUAUGCGGAAGGUGGUGUGGCCCUGGAGGGGGAGCCUGGGAGGUUUGGGCCCGCAGUGGGAUGGGGGGCAGAACACAGGUCCUCCAAAGAAUGACGGAGGCCACCAGGAGAGCUUGGAGAAGACAAAGCCAGGGAACCACAGGCCACUCGGGAGCACAGGCCGUACCUGGGGAACCUUGCCAAUCUGUCCCCAACUUCGCCCCAGCGGGACGGGAAGAACCUGCAGUCCGCUGCCCCCGCAGCAACCGGCCCAGCAGGAGGGGCCCAGGCGCCUCCUUCCCCAGCGCAACCUACGGAAUCCGGCAGGAAUUCGGGCCUCCCAGAUGUAAGAAUUAUUUAUUCGAGAGGCAAGGAUGCCGGCCACAAAAGCGGAGGACACCGGAGAGCAGCAGCCAGCAUGCCGCCUCCGCCUCCCUGUCCGGUCUCUCCCCUACGCCCCUCUCAGAACUCGGAGCCUGCCGUCAGCCCCAGGGAAUGGUGACGAUGCCCAGCUUUUCUGAUGUUUCCUGCAACCAAGGACACACUGUAUUGUGCUGAGCACCCAGCCUCCUGGAGACCCAGCCAGACGUACCUGACCCAGAUGCCCAACUUAAGAAGGCACAGGAGUGGAAAGAUAAAUAUCCAUCGGCACUCCAUGGCCAAUCCUGUGGAGUGUUCUCACCUCACCUUAGUCACUCUCUCACCACUGGGACACACUAUCUGACACUCAUUGCUUAAAGGAGGACAGGUUUAUUGUGGCUCACAGUUUCGAGCCCUGGUUGAUUGGCUCCAAGGUAGGACAACACAACUGAGGGGCCCAGCGGAAGAGAGCUGCUCACCUCAUGGUGCACAGGAAACUGAGUGAAGGGAAGCACUGGGGAGGAAGGCAAACCCUUUCAGGCCACGCCCCCAAGACCCGCCCCUUCCGGCCAGGCCCAGAGUCCUAACAGUGAAUCUAGCUCGGGUCACGCAAUCACCUUGGGUCAUGCAAUCACCUUGCGGAGGUCUGGCCUAUGGACCUGAGG
This 1115-nucleotide long non-coding RNA is filed under the name Fukomys damarensis (Damara mole-rat). RNAcentral's name for it is "lncRNA (ENSFDAG00000023260.1)". The record is from RNAcentral. Lineage: Eukaryota; Metazoa; Chordata; Mammalia; Rodentia; Bathyergidae.